AUACGUGCUCCGGGGUCGGUGUAAGUCCGAACCGGCGGUGAUAGUCCGCGACCCGCGAACCGGUGGUUUCUCCUGGCUGGCCAGGAGAAGUCCCGCGAACGGUUGAACCGGUGAAAUUCCGGUACCGACAGUUAAAGUCUGGAUGAGAGAAGCACGUAC
This 159-nucleotide non-coding RNA is filed under the name Pseudarthrobacter chlorophenolicus. RNAcentral's name for it is "Arthrobacter chlorophenolicus FMN sequence". It matches the Rfam family "FMN riboswitch aptamer (RFN element)". Rfam says of the family: The RFN element is a highly conserved domain that is found frequently in the 5'-untranslated regions of prokaryotic mRNAs that encode for flavin mononucleotide (FMN) biosynthesis and transport proteins. Lineage: Bacteria; Bacillati; Actinomycetota; Actinomycetes; Micrococcales; Micrococcaceae. The record is from RNAcentral.